Molecule: long non-coding RNA, 798 nt
Filed under: Helianthus annuus (common sunflower)
Lineage: Eukaryota; Viridiplantae; Streptophyta; Magnoliopsida; Asterales; Asteraceae
Description: hypothetical non coding rna
Source: RNAcentral
GGGGUUAAAAUGGAAAUAUGCUAUAAAUAAACACUUGACAAAAAUUAGUCAGUGUUUGGUCUGGGCGUGCGAACGAGAGAAGGAACCAAGGGAACCAAAACCCUAAACAACCUAAAAUCAUCAAAUUGAAAGGGGAAUCGAGGGCUGAUCGAAUGCAUGAGUCUAGAUACCCUUUAAUCUAAGUGUAUUGAUCAUAAGUCGUAUGGUGGAACGUGUCAAGGAGAGCUCAAGCAUAGGAGGAUAACGGGUCAAGAUAAGGCAAGGUGACAAAUACACUUAUUGGAAUACUCAAGGUGAUGAAUGUCGGACUUUCGAAGUGUUGAUAUAAUAAUGAAACGGUUGAAUGUUGAAAGGAUAAUCGGACUGAAGUAACUUAUGCGGUUAGAAUAUGCUAUGGACGUUUUAGUUUAUACAAUAUUAUAUGUUUAGUCGUCACCAUCUACUAACAGGUUCGUUGUAUGAGAGUAUAUGUCAUACCCAUUUAAUUGGGUAAUCGAAUGCGUAAGAAAAAUGAAAGUACGCACACGAAUGGAACUAAAAUGACGGUUUUAUAAGCAAACAAGUAUAAUGACUAACUUUUUAAAGCUUUGUUGUUGAAUGUAGGUAAAUCCUCAAUUUUGGCGACUUGGAGAAUCGGAGCGAGCGCGUCUUCGUGUUAUGCGAUACCAAACGCUUCCGCUAGUUUGUUCAAAUGUUUUUUACCCAAAAUUUGUUGUAUUGGUUUUUAGUAGUAUCUUGUUGAACGAAUUGUAGAAUUGUAUCUAGUUUGUUUAUGUUUAAAACAGGGGUAUGCUCGUU